GGUCCAUGGUGUAAUGGUUAGCACUUUGGACUCUGAAUCCAGUGAUCUGAGUUCAAAUCUUGGUGAGACCU
Molecule: transfer RNA, 71 nt
Filed under: Albula glossodonta (roundjaw bonefish)
Lineage: Eukaryota; Metazoa; Chordata; Actinopteri; Albuliformes; Albulidae
Description: tRNA-OTHER
Rfam family: tRNA
About the family: Transfer RNA (tRNA) molecules are approximately 80 nucleotides in length.
Source: RNAcentral